UGAUUAAUUUAAUGGCCGCAGUAUUUUGACUGUGCAAAGGUAGCAUAAUCAUUAGUUUUUUAAUUAAGAACUAGAAUGAAGGGUUGGACGAGAAAAUUUCUGUCUCAAUUUUAAUUUAUAGAAUUUUAUUUUUAAGUUAAAAAGCUUAAAUGUUAUUAAAAGACGAGAAGACCCUAUAGAAUUUUAUAUAAUAUAUUUUUUAUAUUAUUUUAGAAUCUUUUUAUUUUAUAAAUUAAUUAUAUUUUGUUGGGGUGAUUGAAAAAUUUAAUAAACUUUUUUUUUAAUAUUUCAUUACUAAGUGUUUAUUUGAUCCAUGGUUAGUGAUUAAAAGAAUAAAUUACCUUAGGGAUAACAGCGUAAUUUUUUUGGAGAGUUCAAAUCGAUAGAAAAGAUUGCGACCUCGAUGUUGGAUUAAAAUUUAUUUUUGGUGUAGAAGCUAAAAAAUUUAGGUCUGUUCGACCUUUGAAAUUUUACAUGAUCUGAGUUUAAACCGGUGUGAGCCAGGUUGGUUUCUAUCUUUAAUUUAUUAUAAUUUUUUAGUACGAAAGGACCAAAUAUUAGUAAUAUUUAUUAUUAAUAGAAUAAAAAUGUUACUUUGGCAGAUUAGUGCAAUAAAUUUAGAAUUUAAGAAUGUAUGUUUUUAUACAAGUAAUACUUGUAUUUUAUAGAUUUUAUUUUGUUAUUAAUUAGAGGAUUAAUUUUAAUUGUUUGUGUUUUAGUGGGGGUU
This 727-nucleotide ribosomal RNA is filed under the name Epimetopus sp. SLE0069. RNAcentral describes it as "partial 16S ribosomal RNA". The stretch from base 348 to 507 matches the Rfam family "Bacterial large subunit ribosomal RNA", at positions 2473 to 2632 of the family's 2925-position model. Lineage: Eukaryota; Metazoa; Arthropoda; Insecta; Coleoptera; Epimetopidae. The record is from RNAcentral.